Lycium ferocissimum is the source of this 579-nucleotide long non-coding RNA. RefSeq lists it as uncharacterized. The transcript has 2 exons. NCBI's taxonomy places the organism in Eukaryota, Viridiplantae, Streptophyta, Magnoliopsida, Solanales, Solanaceae. The record is from RefSeq and is a predicted model, not a curated record.
UUUGGUGGAAAGGGUUUCAACCGAACCCUAGCCGCCUUCCUUUCUCUCUCUCCAUCACGAUUUUGCCGAAAAUGGCAAAGGAUCAGACGCGUUUUGCUUUUCUAUAGGAUUUGUGUGUCUAUUUCGGUAAUUUUUCUCUCACCCUCUCAUCCUCAUCACCGCAUGUCAACCCAAAACAAGGAUUCUAGGAUUAACAAGAAGCUCAAGGAUCUCCAAUUCCAUUUUCUCGACUAGGCUGCACUAAAGAAAGGUAAUUUUUUUUCCUUCUUUUUAAUUUAUGUAAUUUCUUAAUGUGUUUGUGUGUUUAUUAGUUUAGUUCUAGCUAGAUUAGUUCAAUUUAGUAAGGAUGUGCUAGAUUAGGGUAUCACAUGUUAAAUUCUUGUUUGUUUCCAGAUUAUUUUAAUGCUUAGUUUGACUAUAUGAUUAAGAUUAGGGGUGUACAUGAACCGGGUUGAUUCGGAUUUUAUAAAUACCAAACCAAACCAAUUGUGUUGGGUUCUUAAAUUAUAAACCAAACCAAACCAAUAAAAUUUGGGUUUUUCAACUUCGGGUUUUCUCGGUUUAUUCAGUUUUUUCGGG